AUGAGUUACUCAAAAGUAGAAAAUCAAUUAUUUUUUAUUUUUGCAUUUUUCAGCAGCAAAUGUUUUAUUUUAAACAAUUGGAAAGACAAUCUAAACAAGUUUGAUGCUAACCCUAAUGAUGGAAUAUAUUUAAGGUUUUGUCAUCUAGUAAGGCUUAUAUGGGGUUUAACCAUAGAACAUUCGUUGUUAAAGAGCCUAUUUAAGUUGCUUUUGAUGAAAUCAAAUCUCAUAAGAUAUGGAAAGGUAGUUAUAAUUUUGAUGUUUCAAGUGUAUUAA
Molecule: non-coding RNA, 276 nt
Organism: Vicia faba (fava bean)
Lineage: Eukaryota; Viridiplantae; Streptophyta; Magnoliopsida; Fabales; Fabaceae
Source: the annotation of a GenBank genome assembly